Ailuropoda melanoleuca (giant panda) is the source of this 3301-nucleotide long non-coding RNA. RefSeq lists it as uncharacterized. The transcript has 2 exons. NCBI's taxonomy places the organism in Eukaryota, Metazoa, Chordata, Mammalia, Carnivora, Ursidae. The record is from RefSeq and is a predicted model, not a curated record.
UGGCCCGCACCCUUGGCCCUGUCAGGAGCGAGCAGGAGCGGGGCCUCGGGGCUCUGGUGCGGCAGCCUGUGAGCUGGGACUUGAAGGACUUUUAAUGUUUGGGUCCCGAAAAGUGGAGCGGGUGGAACUUUCUAGUUGCCCCUCGGGAUAGGAAGAUAACUGGUGCUUCCGCACCACCUCCACCCAUCCUUUUCCUGGAAAGGCUCGUACAGAUGAGUUUUUUAUCUUUUGAAAGAAAAAAGGAAACUGGAUCACAGAUAAGUUCCAGAGUCCUUAAAUGUCAAGGUCCUAGUACUUUUACAAAGAUUUUCAGUGUUCCGGAUUCAUUCUAGGUCGUCUACAUAGUGUUUCUAUUCUCCUGCUUCCUGUGGUCAUAAAUUUUCAUUCAUGUUAACAUUUUGGGGACUCCAAAGGAGAAUACAUUUUUCUUCAAAAACACCAAUCUUCAAUUUAAGGAGAGAGAUCAGUGUUAUCAGCUGGAUUUUACUUCCUUAAAUAGGCUGAAUGCCCAGGAGUUAAAAAACUAAAGACUCCUAUGGUUUACCCUUCUUUGACUCCCAUGCAUUCAAUAAAUCAUCAGGUCUUGGUUUUCUUAAAGGAAGCCUUUCUCAUUUUUCUUCAUUUCUGGGUCUUCUGUUUUCAAGCACUAGCUUUCAUCUGAACAAUUCCCAGAAUUUCUUUACUGUCCUAAGCUUUCAUUCUCAUAACCUCCAUUCCGUCUUCUGCACUGCCCUCUGCUCCUUCUAGUGCUUGAUGUCAUCGUCACCUUUACUGCUUAGCAUGACAUACAAAGCCCUUUGUACUGUGACUCAUGCCUGCCUCUUCCCACAUACUGCCUCCCCUCCUGGGCAUAUUUUCCCCUCUACGUGGAAUGCCCCUUUUUGGGUUGGUAGGGAAUAUCCCGUUUAUCAUUCAAAACCAAGCUGAUAUCCCCUUUCCUAUAGAGUUAAACUAAUUCCUCUGUACUGUACUUGCCCUCUUUAAGUAAGUCAAGAUAAAACCAGAACUGGAUGAUAAAAACAGAUUUUAUUCAGGACUAUUGCAAUAGGAGAAAGAGGUCCAUAUAGAACCAGGCUCCAUUCUGAAUAUAGUGUAGACAAGCGGGAAUGUAUGCCCAAGGAGCAGGGAGGGGAGUCUCUGAUGGAAAAUUACUUAGAGAAAUCAUCAGCGGUCAGGGGACAGUUUGCAGGGGAGUUCUGGCUAAACCAGCCUAACAAUUUUUGAUUUUGAGACACCAGGAUGAUCAGACAGGCACCUGAGGGAUGGUGGAGGAUGAGGAACCUUGAGUAUCCUCCCCAUCGAGGUGGUUAUAGGAACUUAACUUUCCUCCCAGCAGGUACCACUUGGGUUGUAUCUCUUCUCCUCCUUUCUGCUUCUGGCUCUUGUAAGGCCCCAUAGUUGACAGGAAUUUCUUUUUCUCAUGCUGUCUCUAGUUGGGCCUGUAAUUAGGGAAGGAAUGGGAAAGGAAGAGUGACUUUCCUACCCUUUCUCCCUAACCCUCAUUUAUAGGUGCUCCCUACCCAAUCUCAUUUAUAAUCUCUAUUCUGGUGAGAACACUGCUGUACUCUACAGUUUUCAGUACAGCCUGGCAUCAGGCUUUCUGAGGAAAUGUGGAAAUGAUGGGGGAGCACUUGAUCUAGAGCUGAAUCCAUGCCCACAUCCAUGACAUCAACUAUGUGACAUCUUCUUCUGAAGUUGUUUUGUCCAGUAAAAGGAUUAACGUAUUUGAAAUUUGCACAUUCCCAAAAAAGACCUGGCACUUGCCCAGCUCCUGGAAGUACCCUCUAAGCUGUUGGAAUAUCCUGCUUGAUAAAAUUGUCUUUUAAGGGGCCUUUGGGCGCCAUCAUCUCUAGGUCAUGCUAAACAAUAGGAUUUAUGAUGAAGAGUCACACUCGAUGAGUUUGACUUCUGAAAGGAUUGAAUACUGAGUAACGUCAGCACAUGACUGACCCCCUAAAAACCUUGGAUACCAAGACUCGGAGGAGCGUCCCUGGUUAGCAGUACUCGCACACGUUGUCGCACGUCAUUGCUGGGAGAGUUAAGUGCUGUCAUUACAACUCCACUGGGAGGAGACAACUGGAAUCUUGCACCUGGUCUCCCCUGGUUCUGCCCUAUGUGCCUUUGCUUUUCUAGUUUUAAUCUGCAUCCUUUCAUGUUUAAGCAUUUGUUAUAAGGCACACACAGCAACAAGACAUGGUUAUAUCUCAUAACCAUGAAUAUAACAGCUUUUCUGAGUCCUCCUAGCAAAUCCCUGAACCUGGGGACCACAGUACAGUGUGGUCAUCAGUUAUAUGUCAAGAAUUAAUCUUCCAUUAGUAACAGCAUUUAAAUUCUAAGUAGGGAGAGUUGUAGAGGUUUUUUUGUUUUUUUAAGGAUUUUAUGUACUUAUUUUAGAGAGGGAGCAUGAGCCUGGGGUGGGAGUGCAGGGGAGCAGAGGGAGAGGGACAAGCAGGCUCCGUGAUCAGCAGGCAUCAAUCCCACGACUCUGAGAUCAUGACUUGAGCCGAAGUCAAGAGUUGGGUGCUUAACUGACUGAGCCACCCAGGUGCCCCUGUGUGCAUGGCUUUAAAAAAAGAACCCCAUGCUCUUGUUUGUUACAUGCUUUUCUUGCUUCCCUACCUCUGCCCACCAUCACUACCCUAGUCUUUUUAAGGAGAAUAAUUUAAAAAUAAAACUAAGGGAAGAGAUUUCUUUAAAAAUACAAAUAGAAGUAUUAGGGAUGAGGUAGGUAGGAAUCACGUAACUCUUGUUGCUGUGUGUGCCUUACAACAGAUUCUUAAACACUUUCAUUUUAAGACCCCUUUAUUCCCUUAAAUUAUUGAAAACUGCAAAGAGAUUUUGUUUGUAUGUUUUAUCUUCAUAAUUUAAAAAAAAUUAAAAACUUGGUCUGCUUGGAUCUACAGUAAUGUACAGUAAUGUGAAUGAAUCAGUAAAAAGUAGAUUGAAAAGGUGACCAGCAUGAGUAACAUGGUAUCUAUGGAAAAAUCUACUCCAGCUUCAGAAUACCUGGCUUAAAAUGAUCUUUCAUAAUGGACUUUCUUUCUUUCUUUCUUUCAUGGGAUUGUUUUAUCCCACAUUCUUGGGAACUCAGUGGUGACUUGUGGGUGAACCAUCUCUUUUGGUAAAUUUAUAAUGAAGGAAAGUAGCAUCCAAGCUAAAUGGACCUGUAAGAUGUAUUUUGUUAUUUUUUGUUGUUUUGGUGAUACUUGCAAGUUCUGAAGAAGUAACCCAUCAAAAAUUCUACAUAAUGUGCUCAUAACUCAUUUUGAAUAUUGCGUUCUUCCAAUAAAAAGUACCCAUC